RNAcentral lists this ribosomal RNA (274 nucleotides) under uncultured bacterium. Its description in RNAcentral is "partial 16S ribosomal RNA". It matches the Rfam family "Bacterial small subunit ribosomal RNA", at positions 523 to 796 of the family's 1533-position model. The record is from RNAcentral.
AUACGGAGGGUGCAAGCGUUAUCCGGAAUCAUUGGGUUUAAAGGGUCCGCAGGCGGAUUAAUAAGUCAGUGGUGAAAUCCUCUCGCUCAACGAGAGAACUGCCAUUGAAACUGUUAGUCUUGAAUUCGGUCGAAGUAGGCGGAAUGUGUCAUGUAGCGGUGAAAUGCAUAGAUAUGACACAGAACACCGAUAGCGAAGGCAGCUUACUAGACCUGGAUUUACGCUCAUGGACGAAAGCGUGGGGAGCGAACAGGAUUAGAAACCCCGGUAGUCC